Molecule: ribosomal RNA, 468 nt
Filed under: uncultured bacterium
Lineage: Bacteria
Description: partial 16S ribosomal RNA
Rfam family: Bacterial small subunit ribosomal RNA
Source: RNAcentral
GACGAACGCUGGCGGCGUGCUUAACACAUGCAAGUCGAACGGAAAGGCCCUGCUUUUGUGGGGUGCUCGAGUGGCGAACGGGUGAGUAACACGUGAGUAACCUGCCCUUGACUUUGGGAUAACUUCAGGAAACUGGGGCUAAUACCGGAUAGGAGCUCCUGCUGCAUGGUGGGGGGUGGAAAGUUUCGGCGGUUGGGGAUGGACUCGCGGCUUAUCAGCUUGUUGGUGGGGUAGUUGCUUACCAAGGCUUUGACGGGUAGCCGGCCUGAGAGGGUGACCGGCCACAUGGGGACUGAGAUACGGCCCAGACUCCAACGGGAGGCAGCAGUGGGGAAUAUUGCACAAUGGGCGGAAGCCUGAUGCAGCAACUCCGCGUGCGGGAUGACGGCCUUCGGGUUGUAAACCGCUUUCGCCUGUGACGAAGCGUGAGUGACGGUAAUGGGUAAAGAAGCACCGGCUAACUACGUG